GCAAGUCGAACGAUGAAGCCCCUCGGGGUGGAUUAGUGGCGAACGGGUGAGUAACACGUGGGCAAUCUGCCCUGCACUCUGGGACAAGCCCUGGAAACGGGGUCUAAUACCGGAUACCACUCCCGCAGGCAUCUGCGGGGGUUGAAAGCUCCGGCGGUGCAGGAUGAGCCCGCGGCCUAUCAGCUGGUUGGUGAGGUAACGGCUCACCAAGGCGACGACGGGUAGCCGGCCUGAGAGGGCGACCGGCCACACUGGGACUGAGACACGGCCCAGACUCCUACGGGAGGCAGCAGUGGGGAAUAUUGCACAAUGGGCGCAAGCCUGAUGCAGCGACGCCGCGUGAGGGAUGACGGCCUUCGGGUUGUAAACCUCUUUCAGCAGGGAAGAAGCGCAAGUGACGGUACCUGCAGAAGAAGCGCCGGCUAACUACGUGCCAGCAGCCGCGGUAAUACGUAGGGCGCGAGCGUUGUCCGGAAUUAUUGGGCGUAAAGAGCUCGUAGGCGGCUUGUCACGUCGGGUGUGAAAGCCCGGGGCUUAACCCCGGGUCUGCAUUCGAUACGGGCUAGCUAGAGUGUGGUAGGGGAGAUCGGAAUUCCUGGUGUAGCGGUGAAAUGCGCAGAUAUCAGGAGGAACACCGGUGGCGAAGGCGGAUCUCUGGGCCAUUACUGACGCUGAGGAGCGAAAGCGUGGGGAGCGAACAGGAUUAGAUACCCUGGUAGUCCACGCCGUAAACGGUGGGCACUAGGUGUUGGCGACAUUCCACGUCGUCGGUGCCGCAGCUAACGCAUUAAGUGCCCCGCCUGGGG
Molecule: ribosomal RNA, 806 nt
Filed under: Streptomyces kebangsaanensis
Lineage: Bacteria; Bacillati; Actinomycetota; Actinomycetes; Kitasatosporales; Streptomycetaceae
Description: bacterial SSU rRNA
Rfam family: Bacterial small subunit ribosomal RNA
Source: RNAcentral